Molecule: ribozyme, 77 nt
Filed under: Crocodylus porosus (Australian saltwater crocodile)
Lineage: Eukaryota; Metazoa; Chordata; Crocodylia; Crocodylidae
Description: Mammalian CPEB3 ribozyme (ENSCPRG00005008044.1)
Rfam family: Mammalian CPEB3 ribozyme
About the family: The mammalian CPEB3 ribozyme is a self cleaving RNA located in the second intron of the CPEB3 gene which belongs to a family of genes regulating messenger RNA polyadenylation.
Source: Rfam by way of RNAcentral
AGUUGCAAGCUCAAGGCCACAGCAGGAGUAUUCAUGUUGCGGCCAUGUCAGAUUCCAAUAAAUCUGUGAAUUCUGCU